CCCCACAAACCCUAGCGCUCCAGAUCCGCCACCCACCUCACGCGCUCCCUCUCCCCCAUCGCCGCCGCCACCCCGCCGAUCACAUCCCUCCCGAUUCAGAUCCAUUCUCCCCGAUUCAGAUCCGACCCCGCCGCCCGCGCCCGCGCGCCACCAUCCGCUCCUCCUCGCCUCCUGGAGGACGUCUGCCGCUCUUCCUCCGCCCGUCCCGGAGGCCUUGGUCGGCGCCCUUCGCCGCAGGGCCGCCGCGCUCGUCCCGCCCUCGGCGCCGCACCUCCUUUUCCUCAUGGCCUCGCACCUCCCCGAUCCGUGUUCCUCGCACACUCACCGCUUCGCCUCUGUCUCCCACCACGCCGCACGCCCCACGCCGGAAAAGGGAAGGCGAGCCACCUCCGCCCUCCCCUCGCCCCCGCGCUGGUCCCACCGCCGAGCCCAGUUCCCCUCCCUUCUCCAUGCAGGCGCCGUCGCCAUCAAUCGAUCUCCUGAGCAAGCGACCUCCCUCCCCGAUCUACUCGUUGGCUCUGGCGGACGAGCCGGAGGGGCGAGGGGAGGGGGAGCGUGGACGCCAACUGGCGACCCACCCAAGACUCAGAUCCCGCCACCACGGCCGCCGGAGGCGGGGUUGACCCGAACGCACCGGCGCCCCACCGCCGGAGGCGACUGGCGCUCCGGGCUCCAUCCCGAAGCCCGCGCCAGGAUCGUUAGUAAGAUAUCCAGUCGCACUCCUCAUCCAGCUCCAUGUCUCCUGGUGCGGCGGCACAGUGGGAGGAUGUGAACGUGCGGCCGCCCAGGGGUGGUGGUGGUGGUGACCUGCCUGCUCGUCCCUCGUCCUCAUCACCGGCCUCUCCGAGGUCGCUGCUGGGGCAAUCUCCAUGGGCCCUUGAGGAUGGAGUAGGAGGAUGAGCAGCAGCAAAUGAGCCUGAUGGUGAAGAAGCACCUGAUGACCAGAACUCGUUCAAGAGCUCUUUUGUCCUUCCAAAACAGGGUCUUGAUGUCCCCCUUACAGAAAAAUGUUCAUACAUGUUCCUGCAUGAUGCAUGUGUGCAUGUUGGAUGGUCAUAUUCUGAUCCUCCUAGCCAUUGCACAUGCCUGUAUUCAUAUGGCCAUUGUGGAUAAUUCUAUGCUUUAAUAAUUCUCCUUAUAUAUCACUGUUUAUUAGUAAGAGAUUUCUUCUGCUUGGCCAUAACAACAAUUUCAUGUUGUUUCUUUUGUAAUUCGACGGUUGACAAUCUCAUAUAUUACACUAGCUAAUAUAUUACAACGGAAUGAUCAACUACUCUCAUGGUCGAUCCCAUCCCAUCUAGCAUUAUUUACCGUCUAUCUGUCUGUAUGUAUUUACUCUGGAAAAAAUUCAGUCUGCACAUCUGCAUCUGCAUUGCACAAGUACAGAUGCAUCCGCCCCUGCUAUUUUCUUAUUAUACAUUACAUAGAUGCAUACAUACGCCAGGCUAUUUCUGUGUCUGUCUGUCUGACCUCUCAAGGAUGCAUAUCUCGUUCGUAUGUACUGAAUUUUGUAACAAUUUCGUUUUCCUCAUACUUACAGGAUGCUGCGCUCGCUACUUACAUGUUUUCUGAUGCCACAACAAAGGACUAUAUGUGGUUUCUUCAGUGGGAUUGUUGCUGUCGCUCCUCAUGUUCAAUAACAUUUCAGCAUUGGACCUGCUAGUCACCCAAGCCAAGCCUCGCAUCGCUUCAACAAAGCGAUACUUCUUCCACUCAACCCCUACUUCGGCUCUGCUCUUUUUUCCAUCUUCUCUUAUUUAAGCUAAGAAAGAUUCUGAGUUUGCAUCCAUCUCAUUACACUAGCUAGCACAAUAUAUUAGUUAAGGCAACUCUACUACAUAUCAAUUUCCCCUACUCGAUUGGUUCUAUAUUUUUAAAGUUGUUUCGUCGUGCAUGAGCCCAACCUGAAGAAAUAUAGGCUUAUGAUGACUAUUUUCCUUCUUAAGUAAUCAUAGUUGUUGGCUUCGGUAGCUUGCUGGAUAUGCUUUAGUUAUAUAUAGAAAUGACGUGCCUUCUAUGCUUAAAUGAUUGUUUGGCUCUAUAUAAUUGUUGACAUGAAUAUCUUGACUUCCCAAACAAGUAAAGGACUGUACCUAUGCAGACUGUCCUAACAAAACUGAAAAUAAAAAUUGAAGCAUGAAAUAAGCAAUAAGUGGCUGAUUUUUAUUUGCAUGUUAAGCUGAAAGUUGUAGCCAAGGCUUAUAUAUUACGAAAUAUUGUCACACCUCUGAGCUUCUACUGUUGUUAGGGACAUCGUAGUGUGAUCUUCAUGAUUUUUCGCUUGAAGAUGUACUGAUUCAUUAGUCAAGCAGAGACCAAAGUCAUCUUUUGCUACUGCUAGCUCUAUGGAUGUUUAUUUACCUGCAACUUCUGCCAGCUCUAACUUGGUUAUAUAGCAGUUCAAUUCAGUCAAUCUGUUGGAACUAGUUUGUCGAUUACUUGUAUCCAGAUUUUAUAUCCUGCCCUAUGCCAUUGUCGACUUGCUUAGGUACAUAAUUGUUAUGUCUUGCAAUCUGGUAUUGAUGAUUGUCAAUGUAUUCAUUUAUACCUUUCUAGGUAACCUUGUAUGUGACCCAGCUGAUCUGUAUAUCAAUGCUCUGUUUCCAAUAGAUGUAUGCUGAUGCCUGAUGGCUGAUUCCUUAAAACUUCACUGUUGCAGUAGCAUUUUUCCUUAGUGCAUAGAUGUAUGAGCGAUCACUUAUGCUUGAAACCUUGCUCUCUUUCCCAGGAACCAUCGUGGUCUGUGUCACUACUGGGGCAGGAGAGGAAAGACUGUUGGUGUCUCCAGGAAGCGAUAAACUGCAUCACAAAGAUCCCCGCAUAGCUUCACUACUACUGUGUUGGUCCAUUUCCAGAAUCGUAACGAGUGUUCUUGUUUAUAUGAUUACCUUGGAUGAUGCUUUUGCUUAAGGAGAGGCUCAAGAAGAUCAAGGAGCUCCGCAUCCGAGUUUCAGCCAUCCUCUACAGCAAGGUGCUCUCGGCCAAAGGAGCAAGCAGCGCUGCUAGUUCCUUGAGGCCAGAUCGAGUAAGAUGGCAAACCAUGGCGUGUGGUGGCGUAUUUUGCUUCCGAGAACAGUACUGUUUAUUUGAAGUGAGAUGUACUCGUCUAGUGCCUGGCAAAAAAAUGAAGGAUGAAGUGUCAUGUACUGUCUAUGUUGUAGUGAGCUGUAGUAGGAGUGAAAUGAAAAUGUAUCUGCUGUUGUAUGUGUUAUUUCGCUGUAAUGUAUUGUGUACAUUUUACUUGAACAUUAAAUUCUCCAGAAAAAGUGUUCUUA
This is a non-coding RNA of Aegilops tauschii subsp. strangulata, 3275 nucleotides long. Lineage: Eukaryota; Viridiplantae; Streptophyta; Magnoliopsida; Poales; Poaceae. The record is from RefSeq and is a predicted model, not a curated record.